CCUACGGGGGGCAGCAGUGGGGAAUAUUGCGCAAUGGGCGAAAGCCUGACGCAGCGACGCCGCGUGAGGGAUGAAGGUCUUCGGAUCGUAAACCUCUGUCAGCAGGGAAGAACGGUCACUGUGCUAAUCAGCAGUGACUUGACGGUACCUGCAAAGGAAGCACCGGCUAACUCCGUGCCAGCAGCCGCGGUAAUACGGAGGGUGCGAGCGUUAAUCGGAAUUACUGGGCGUAAAGCGCUCGUAGGCGGUCUGUCAAGUCAAGGGUGAAAUCCCCGCGCUCAACGUGGGAACUGCCUUUGAAACUGGCAAACUGGAGUGUGUGAGAGGAUAGUGGAAGUCCAGGUGUAGGAGUGAAAUCCGUAGAUAUCUGGAGGAACAGCAGUGGCGAAGGCGACUAUCUGGCACAUAACUGACGCUGAGGAGCGAAAGCGUGGGUAGCAAACAGGAUUAGAUACCCCAGUAGUC
RNAcentral lists this ribosomal RNA (465 nucleotides) under uncultured bacterium. RNAcentral describes it as "partial 16S ribosomal RNA". It matches the Rfam family "Bacterial small subunit ribosomal RNA", at positions 338 to 795 of the family's 1533-position model. The record is from RNAcentral.